AGGGAGGAUGCUAAGAGGAAAGGAGAUUGGAGCUGGUUGCAUAUCUAUCUACUAACAGAGGAGGGAAGGAGGUGAAGGUAAAGGAGAGGAUGGGUCAACACUACAAAUAUAGUUGGAGCAGUCUACCAUGGAGCCACAGUGACAGGAUACUUCCUUCUCAUGCCUGGCCAGUAGUGAAUUUAAAAGAGUAUAGCAGGAAGAGUAUCAGUAGUAAUUCACUUUCUACGGUGAAAUAAAUGGUUUGAUCAGGAUUGAAAAUCGAUUUUGUCAUGAAGAUAUAGCCAAUAACAACUGUUUACAUGGUGGAGACAUGUUGAAAUGAUCCGGAUUACGUGAGAAACAAAUUGAGUGAAUAUACACAAAUACGCUGAAAAUAAAACUUUGGAGUCACA
This is a non-coding RNA of Ictidomys tridecemlineatus (thirteen-lined ground squirrel), 392 nucleotides long. The record is from RefSeq and is a predicted model, not a curated record. NCBI's taxonomy places the organism in Eukaryota, Metazoa, Chordata, Mammalia, Rodentia, Sciuridae.